UGAAAGUGAUAUGUGUAGAGUUCGUGUGUUAGUUUGAAAUAGAACACCGCAUGCUAUACCAUUGAGAAAAGGUUGAAGAUUUUGGAGCUCCUCCGACUAAAACUUUGUUGGCCAUUGACAAACGUAGGGCAAUUUUGCCUACUGUUAGACACAAAACCAGGUGUCUAAAACUGACAGCUAUAUAUAAGAUCCUGCCUUAGUCAUUCAGGACUAAGAAACUGCCCAAACAGAAGUUUGCUUCAUGUUGUCAAGUCACAGGCUCGCGAAGGAGAACUCAACCAGUACACAAGCGCUUUAUCGAGAAGAAGCUCAUGGCCAAGUGGUAAUCCUAACCCUACGGUCACCUGUUACUACCUGGGUGAACUCCGCUAGCUACCCCGGCCCAGACACGAGAGAGCGUUGGCACCAGACUAUUUCAUUGACUGGCGAAAGUACACCGAUAAAGUCUUAAAGUUGUAGUUCACCCCUGUAUGAAACUUAAUUGACCAAGGGGCACACGUUAACCGUAAUUUUCAGUCGUUGUUAACCCAUUUUAUGUCCCAUUAGAGCUAUUUUAUAGCAAGCAUGUUUAGAAAGUGGCAUGGAGCACGUUCAUUUCACGCGUUUUGCAAAGUCUACAACAAUCUCUGCGAGAAAAAAAAAUGGGUCAUUUUCCUCAUGGUGCGCAUAUCAUGAUGCGGUGAUUUGUUUAGCCAAUCCGCCUGUUCUCACUCAAUUUCUUCGGCGUGUUGUUCCCCGAACCACGCUCAUUACCAAACUCCAUUAGCGUGACGCACACGUACUAGUUCCCUCGACUGACCUAUUUUCGCUGGUGCCAUUUCACCGUACUUUGUAUUCUACAUCAAUCGUCCGUUUUUAACCCCCUUUUUAAAAGGCAGUAAUUGACUUUUCAUGUGCCGCUCGUUUUUGGUUGAUGUUUGAUGAUCCCCGGAAAUUGUGGCUGCAAUGACUUCCCGCCAUUGCUGAGAAUUCCCUAUAAGUGUGAACACGAACGUGUCCUGGAGGCAGGGAGCUUUAGGUUAAUGGCUUGAUGACGAACGCUUUCUGUUUGUCCCGGUGUCACAUGAAGUAUGGACUCUUUUAAAAUAUGUCCUUUCCACUUCAUAAUGGACUUUGAGCUUUACACUUGACUUGUUACUUUUGUCAUUCUGACCACUAAGGAAUGCGCAAUUAACCAAAUGAGCCCGGAGUCAUUUCACAGAGUCCAAAUGUCACACAACACCGGUCUGUUUUUGUGGAGAAUUCGGUUGAAAUACCGCUGGACGGGGCUAGAUAUACGACUUGUGGACUGGUUUCCAAGGUGUCAUUAAAGCACAGAAAGAAA
Molecule: long non-coding RNA, 1324 nt
Organism: Patiria miniata (bat star)
Lineage: Eukaryota; Metazoa; Echinodermata; Asteroidea; Valvatida; Asterinidae
Exons: 2
Source: RefSeq, a predicted model, not a curated record